AGAACCUCCGAUGCCAAAGUUAGAAUUUAGAGACAAAGAGUGUUUAGAGAAUUUUGGGAUUUUUGCCAAAGUGUUGGAAUGAAUAUUUGGUGAAAAUAUGAGCCUAUUUAUAGGGCUAGGUUGGUUUAGGUUUUAUUUUGGUUUAAUUAGCCAAUUAAUUGGCUAAUUAAACAUAAAAGGAAAUAUUUUUUGGUUAUGGAAUUAAUUGGCUAAUAAAAGGAAAAGAAAUGGUGAAAAAAGGUAGAAAAAGUGAUGGAUUAGGUUUUGAAUGGGGAUAGCCAGCCAUGUGGUGUUUUAGGGUUGAAUUGGAUGUAUUUUGUGGUUAUUUGGAUAUAAUGGAUGGUUUAAUUGACAAUUAAUGGGUUAAUUAGGCAAUAAACCCAUUAAUUAGCCAAUUAACAUAAUUUAAAAGGAAUGUGUUUGGGAAUUACCUUGUAGAAAAGAUUUGAUGAGAUGGACUUUGAAUUGUUACCUAUUUUGGGCACUUCUGUCUUGGUUGAAAGAGGGUUGCCCACUACUUGCGCGUAGGAACCUCGUUGUACUGCAAGGGUAUUUUUGUCAUUUUUGUCCAAAAAUCCACGUGUCGCCUUGUGAAUAUUUUUGGCUCCACACGUCUCUUUUGUGUCUCUUUACUAAGUUUUUUGACACGUGUCCCUCUACUUAAAAGAAACACAAAUGAGACAUGCAAUUGAGGACAGUAGACCCUUGGCCUAAGUAGCAAACCAUAAUGAUUUAGACUGUUGGGUUCUAGGUCAUACAUUUAGGAUACCAUUGAUUCGAAUAAUUAAUUAUGUAGCGAAACUAAACAUAUAAAUAAUAAAGUUAGGCAAUUUUUAUUUGAUAUUUUUUUCAAGGUUCUAAAAAACGCUAUGCACUAGUCGGGCGGCGAGCUGGCGCCUAGCGCCUAGGCGGAUUUAGGUAAAUUUCUUGUAAUCUUGUAAGUAAGUGCAUAUUGAUACUUACAAAAAAUUAUACUUGUAUGAAAUUCAUGAAUACAAUGAUAAAUAAAAAAAUGAUAAAAUACAAAACUAGUAUCCAAAGUUCAAAUUUUAAAACACACAUAUAUGCCAUAUUAGUUAAGAUAAUUUGAAUGAUUAUAUCUAAUUUUCAUAAAAAUAAAAAUAAAAAUCCCACGUGUCUGAUGUGAAGAGGUGCAUGCAUCCUCCCCAAUUUCAAAACGCACCAUGUGUGUGGUGUGACCCUUACCCUCCACCCCUAGUCCCCAUCCCUCACAUCAGUCAAGAGACUCCUUUUUUGACGCCAUGAUAACCGAAAACGUUUAUUCAUUUUUAUUCUUUCCUUUUUCUCAUGGUAUUCGUCUUCUUUCCUUUCCACUUCUUCUUUCUUUUUCUUUCCGUUUUCCUUCUUGUACGUUCUCCCUUUUUUUCUUGUUUCCUCUUCUUCUGUUUUGCAUUGUAAGUUCCUCUUCUUCGAUGGAUUUCAGAGAGAGGGAGUCGCAACAUCUAAGAAAGUCGUGGUGCACAGAGGGAGGGAGUCGAAGUGGUAGAAUUUCUUCCCAGGAAACCUCCACUCCGCCUAGACCGCCGCCUAGACAGCCGCCUGGACCGCCCAGGCCGCCUAAGAGCGCCUAACAACUCCCCGAUUUUUCUUAACGAUUCGGACCUAAUCACAUCGGCACCACCACGCCUAGGCCGUUUUUUAGAACACUGAUUUUUUUUAAUGGGAACGAUAAUUUCAUUUCAUCCUUUGAACGAGAAUUAAUGACACAUUGAAUCUUGGAGAUGGUCCCAAUCUUGAAUAACAUCAAAAGGUUUCUCGUUCCAGACUUAAUUACCAAUUAACAAAGCAAAACGAGCUAGACAGUGAGCAACCUCGUUGCAACAAAGUAAAACAUGAACAAAUUCCACAAACUGUAACCGAGCAACCCACUCUUUGGAGUCUUCAAUGGAUCGGAAAAGUCUCUCUCUCCGGCUCCACAACAAAAUCUCAAGUGAGUGAGGAGGGACAAAGCAAUUUGUUUUUCUUCACCCAACAUUAUUUUCCUUACUUUUCUACGCUGAAAUUUGUUGUUAGUAAUUACAAGUCUCCUUUCUUUCUGGCCUUGGAGCUGCGUUGUAAGCAAAUCUAACACAAAGUAAAAUUCACGGGAUAUUCUCUCCCGCACAUUUAUUAAAUCUCAACUGUUCACACACGAAGAAAAUAUUGUCAAGGUGAGAAAAGCUCAACAACGCAUCACUCAAUUUUUUGGGUGGGGGGGGGGGGGGGGGGGUAAGGUUAAAAACCCCGUCAAAUUUGCUGUCAAAGUUUUGAAAUUGAAAUUUUGAUGCACAGUUUCUUGAGGAAACGGUGAUUUAGUAUUAUCAAGCUCAAAUCAGCAACAUAAGCGGUAGGUCGCACUUGGUAGAGGUUGCACUUGAUGCGAUAGCAAGUGCCUUCGCCCAUAAGCGGUAGGUCUCGGGUUCGAGACUUGGGAGCAGCCUCUCCAUAAAUGAGGAUAAGGCUAGCCGACAUUCACCUCUCCCAGACCUUGCGUAAAGCGGGAGCCUUGUGCACUGGGUACGACCUUUUUAAGCUCAAAUCAGCAACAGAGCGUCUUUAACAAAAUACAGUUUCUACGGUGUACCAAAACAAAACAAAGUAUUAGUUAAAAAGUUAGGGUAAUCUGGUUUGACAUCUUUGGCGCCUUCAAACAUUAAAUUAUGAUGAACCCAGCCGUUUUUGAACUUCUUCC
RNAcentral lists this long non-coding RNA (2692 nucleotides) under Malus domestica (apple). RNAcentral's name for it is "long non-coding RNA (MDOM_LNC008857)". The record is from RNAcentral. Lineage: Eukaryota; Viridiplantae; Streptophyta; Magnoliopsida; Rosales; Rosaceae.